GAUAAACGCUGGCGGCGCACAUAAGACAUGCAAGUCGAACGAACUUAAUCGUUAGUUUACUAAUGAAGCGGUUAGUGGCGGACUGGUGAGUAACACGUAAGCAACCUGCCUAUUAGAGGGGAACAACAGUUAGAAAUGACUGCUAAUACCGCAUAUGCCAUAAGUAUCGCAUGAUACAAGUGGGAAAGGAGCGAUCCGCUAAUAGAUGGGCUUGCGUCUGAUUAGAUAGUUGGUGGGGUAACGGCCUACCAAGUCGACGAUCAGUAGCCGAGUUGAGAGACUCUACGGCCACAUUGGGACUGAGAUACGGCCCAGACUCCUACGGGAGGCAGCAGUCGGGAAUAUUGCGCAAUGGAGGAAACUCUGACGCAGUGACGCCGCGUGCAGGAAGAAGGUUUUCGGAUUGUAAACUGCUUUAGACAGGGAAGAAAAAGACAGUACCUGUAGAAUAAGCUCCGGCUAACUACGUGCCAGCAGCCGCGGUAAUACGUAGGGAGCAAGCGUUAUCCGGAUUUAUUGGGUGUAAAGGGUGCGUAGACGGGAAAAUAAGUUAGUUGUGAAAUCCCCAUGCUUAACAUGGGAACUGCAACUAAAACUGUUUUUCUCGAGUGCUGGAGAGGAAAGUGGAAUUCCUAGUGUAGCGGUGAAAUGCGUAGAUAUUAGGAGGAACACCAGUGGCGAAGGCGACUUUCUGGACAGUAACUGACGUUGAGGCACGAAAGUGUGGGGAGCAAACAGGAUUAGAUACCCUGGUAGUCCACACCGUAAACGA
This 772-nucleotide ribosomal RNA is filed under the name uncultured bacterium. Its description in RNAcentral is "bacterial SSU rRNA". It matches the Rfam family "Bacterial small subunit ribosomal RNA", at positions 28 to 809 of the family's 1533-position model. The record is from RNAcentral.